CCCUAGUAACGGCGAGUGAAGCGGCAACAGCUCAAAUUUGAAAUCUGGCCCUCGUGGUCCGAGUUGUAAUUUGUAGAGGAUGCUUUUGGUUAGGUGCCUUCCGAGUUCCCUGGAACGGGACGCCAUAGAGGGUGAGAGCCCCGUCUGGUUGGACACCGAGCCUCUGUAAAGCUCCUUCGACGAGUCGAGUAGUUUGGGAAUGCUGCUCUAAAUGGGAGGUAUAUGUCUUCUAAAGCUAAAUAUUGGCCAGAGACCGAUAGCGCACAAGUAGAGUGAUCGAAAGAUGAAAAGCACUUUGAAAAGAGGGUUAAAAAGUACGUGAAAUUGUUGAAAGGGAAGCGCUUGUGACCAGACUUGGGCCCGGUCAAUCAUCCAGGGUUCUCCCUGGUGCACUUGGCCGGCCCAGGCCAGCAUCAGUUUGUCGCGGGGGAUAAAGACGUUGGGAAUGUGGCUCCUCCGGGAGUGUUAUAGCCCUUCGUGUAAUACCCUGCUUCGGACUGAGGUUCGCGCAUCUGCAAGGAUGCUGGCGUAAUGGUCAUCAGCGACCCGUCUUGAAACACGGACCAAGGAGUCGUCUUCGUAUGCGAGUGUUCGGGUGUCAAACCCCUACGCGUAAUGAAAGUGAACGCAGGUGAGAGCUUCGGCGCAUCAUCGACCGAUCCUGAUGUUCUCGGAUGGAUUUGAGUAAGAGCAUACGGGGCCGGACCCGAAAGAAGGUGAACUAUGCCUGUAUAGGGUGAAGCCAGAGGAAACUCUGGUGGAGGCUCGCAGCGGUUCUGACGUGCAAAUCGAUCGUCAAAUAUGGGCAUGGGGGCGAAAGACUAAUCGAACCUUCUAGUAGCUGGUUUCCGCCG
This 854-nucleotide ribosomal RNA is filed under the name Nectria pseudotrichia. RNAcentral's name for it is "partial large subunit ribosomal RNA". It matches the Rfam family "Eukaryotic large subunit ribosomal RNA", at positions 78 to 963 of the family's 3401-position model. Lineage: Eukaryota; Fungi; Ascomycota; Sordariomycetes; Hypocreales; Nectriaceae. The record is from RNAcentral.